RNAcentral lists this ribosomal RNA (485 nucleotides) under uncultured bacterium. RNAcentral's name for it is "bacterial SSU rRNA". It matches the Rfam family "Bacterial small subunit ribosomal RNA", at positions 28 to 507 of the family's 1533-position model. The record is from RNAcentral.
GAUGAACGCUAGCGGCAGGCCUAACACAUGCAAGUCGAGGGGUAACAGGAGAGCUUGCUCUCGCUGACGACCGGCGCACGGGUGCGUAACGCGUAUACCAAUUUACCUUAUACUGGAGGAUAGCCCGGAGAAAUCCGGAUUAAUACUCCAUAACAUUACAGAAUCGCAUGAUUCCAUAAUUAAAGUUUCGGCGGUAUAAGAUGAGUAUGCGUCCUAUUAGUUAGUUGGUAAGGUAACGGCUUACCAAGACAGCGAUAGGUAGGGGGCCUGAGAGGGUUAUCCCCCACACUGGUACUGAGACACGGACCAGACUCCUACGGGAGGCAGCAGUGAGGAAUAUUGGACAAUGGAGGCAACUCUGAUCCAGCCAUGCCGCGUGAAGGAAGAAUGUCCUACGGAUUGUAAACUUCUUUUAUUUGGGAAGAAACUUCUCUACGUGUAGAGAACUGACGGUACCAAACGAAUAAGGACCGGCUAACUCCGUG